This 491-nucleotide ribosomal RNA is filed under the name uncultured bacterium. RNAcentral describes it as "partial 16S ribosomal RNA". It matches the Rfam family "Bacterial small subunit ribosomal RNA", at positions 29 to 507 of the family's 1533-position model. The record is from RNAcentral.
GUGAACGCUGGCGGUAGGCCUAACACAUGCAAGUCGAACGGCAGCACAGUAAGAGCUUGCUCUUACGGGUGGCGAGUGGCGGACGGGUGAGGAAUACAUCGGAAUCUACUUUUUCGUGGGGGAUAACGUAGGGAAACUUACGCUAAUACCGCAUACGACCCACGGGUGAAAGCAGGGGAUCUUCGGACCUUGCGCGAUUGAAUGAGCCGAUGUCGGAUUAGCUAGUUGGCGGGGUAAAGGCCCACCAAGGCGACGAUCCGUAGCUGGUCUGAGAGGAUGAUCAGCCACACUGGAACUGAGACACGGUCCAGACUCCUACGGGAGGCAGCAGUGGGGAAUAUUGGACAAUGGGCGCAAGCCUGAUCCAGCCAUACCGCGUGGGUGAAGAAGGCCUUCGGGUUGUAAAGCCCUUUUGUUGGGAAAGAAAAGCAGCAGGUUAAUACCCCGCUGUUCUGACGGUACCCAAAGAAUAAGCACCGGCUAACUUCGUG